ACGACCUUACUUGAACAGGAUCUGUUCUAUAGGCUCGUAUCACUGUAUCCUUGAGUUCUAAGGAAACAGGAAACUAAGUUUAGUGGAUGAACCAUGGCCAUUGGACCAGAGCAUGAUUAAUAGCUUCCAUGCCCUUCGGGUCAUGGUGCUGUAGAUGAUCGUUCUUAGCACCUAACUUCGUGCUGGGAUGGUCUAAUGGCUGUCUGAUAGGCU
Small nucleolar RNA from Lycium ferocissimum, 213 nucleotides. RefSeq annotates it as small nucleolar RNA U3. The transcript has a single exon. Lineage: Eukaryota; Viridiplantae; Streptophyta; Magnoliopsida; Solanales; Solanaceae. The record is from RefSeq and is a predicted model, not a curated record.